UGUUUAGUUUUAUUGGGCAUUCGGUGGAUGCCUUGGCAUCAAGAGCUGAUGAAGGACGUUGCGGCCUGCGAUAUGCCUCGGGGAGCUGGCGAGCGAGCGUUAUUAUCCGAGGGUGUCCGAAUGGGGGAACCUAACCUGGGUUAUGCUGGGUUACCAUCAUCUGAACGUGUAUAGGGUGAUGGGGGGAACGCGGGGAAGUGAAACAUCUCAGUACCCGCAGGAAAAGAUAUUCCGUGAGUAGUGGCGAGCGAAAGCGGAGGAGGCUAAACCAGAUGCGUGUGAGAGGCGGCGGCCGUUGCGUGUUUGGUGUUGUGGGGCCAUGUCGGAUCCUUCUGCCGGGGGAUCGCGUCACAAGUUGUUGGGAGUUGAACAGUCUGGGAAGUCUGACCGUAGAGCGUGAGAGUCGUGUAAACGGACCGAUGGCGUGUGGUGUGGGUGUGGUACCCGAGUAGCGCGGGACUCGUGAAAUCUCGUGUGAAUCUGCCAAGACCACUUGGUAAGCCUAAAUACUACUUGAUGACCGAUAGUGCAUAGUACCGUGAGGGAAUGGUGAAAAGUACCCCGGGAGGGGAGUGAAAUAGUACCUGAAACCGUGUGCCUGUAAGCCGUCAGAGCCUUGAGGGGUGAUGGCGUGCCUUUUGAAGAAUGAGCCUGCGAGUUAGUGAUACGUGGCGUGCUUAACCCGUGUGGGGUAUGCGUAGCGAAAGCGAGUCUGAAAUAUGGCGUUGGUCGCGUGUUCUAGACCCGAAGCGGGGUGAUCUACCCAUGGUCAGGUUGAAGCAGAGGUAAGACUGUGUGGAGGACCGAACCCACCAGGGUUGAAAACCUGGGGGAUGAACUGUGGGUAGGGGUGAAAGGCCAAUCAAACUCCGUGAUAGCUGGUUCUCCCCGAAAUGCAUUUAGGUGCAGCGUCGCGUGGUCCCUGGUGGAGGUAGAGCUACUGGAUGGCCGAUGGGCCCUAUGGGUUACUGACGUCAGCCAAACUCCGAAUGCCAUUAGGUGUAGCGCGGCAGUGAGACUGCGGGGGAUAAGCUUCGUAGUCGAGAGGGAAACAGCCCAGAUCAUCAGCUAAGGCCCCUAAGCGUACGCUAAGUGGGAAAGGAUGUGGAGUCGCGGUGACAACCAGGAGGUUGGCUUAGAAGCAGCCAUCCUUGAAAGAGUGCGUAAUAGCUCACUGGUCAAGUGGUUCUGCGCCGACAAUGUAGCGGGGCUCAAGCGUACCGCCGAAGCUGUGGCAACAACACGUUUUAACUGGCACCAGGAACUGGAUGUCGGUGUGUUGUUGGGUAGGGGAGCGUCCUGCACGAGGUGAAGCCUGGAGGGAACUUCUGGUGGAUUGUGUGGGAGUGAGAAUGCAGGCAUGAGUAACGAAUCUGCGGUGAGAAUCCGCAGCGCCGAUUGACUAAGGGUUCCAGGGCUAGGUUUAUCCGCCCUGGGUUAGUCGGGUCCUAAGGCGAGGCCGACAGGCGUAGUCGAUGGACAACCAGUUGAUAUUCUGGUACCGCGUUAUGACCGCCCAUGCUGAAGUCAUUGUGCUAACCAAUUUGCUCACACCACCACGUAACCUUCGGGUUUGUUGGUGUGUGUGGGUCUUGGGGCCCCGGUGAUUGUAGGCAAGCGUGUUAACAGGGGUGACGCAGACAGGUAGCUGCAGUGCGCCGAUGGUUGUGCGUAUUUAAGGUUGUGGCCCGUCCCUCAGGCAAAUCCGGGGGACACUAAGGGUGAGAACUGAUGAGGGACACACGCGUGUGUGGACUUGUGGUGAUCCUAAGCUGCCGAGAAAAGCCUCGACGUGAGGGCAUGACGCGCCCGUACCCUAAACCGACUCAGGUGGUCAGGUAGAGUAUACCGAGGCGUUCGAGUGAAUCGUGGUUAAGGAACUCGGCAAAAUUCCUCCGUAACUUCGGGAUAAGGAGGACCCCGUGACUUGCGCCCGCCUUUGCGUGGGUGUUGGGUUGUGGGGUCGCAGAGAAUAGGGAGAAGCGACUGUUUAUCAAAAACACAGGUGCGUGCGAAGCCGUAAGGCGAUGUAUACGCACUGACGCCUGCCCGGUGCUGGAAGGUUAAGAGGAACCGUCAACACCCUCCGGGGUGUGAAGCGGUGAAUUUAAGCCCCAGUAAACGGCGGUGGUAACUAUAACCAUCCUAAGGUAGCGAAAUUCCUUGUCGGGUAAGUUCCGACCUGCACGAAUGGCGUAACGACUUCUCCGCUGUCUCAACCGCGAACUCGGUGAAAUUGCAGUACGAGUAAAGAUGCUCGUUUCGCGCAGAAGGACGGAAAGACCCCGGGACCUUUACUAUAGCUUGGUAUUGGUGUUCGCUUGGACUUGUGUAGGAUAGGUGGGAGACUGUGAAGCUGCCGCGCCAGCGGUGGUGGAGUCGUCGUUGAAAUACCAUUCUGGUUCAAGCGGUCACCUCAACCUUGGCCCGUAAUCCGGGUUGGGGACAGUGCCUGGUGGGUAGUUUAACUGGGGCGGUUGCCUCCUAAAAUGUAACGGAGGCGCUCAAAGGUUCCCUCAGCCUGGUUGGUAAUCAGGUGGCGAGUGCAAGUGUACAAGGGAGCUUGACUGUGAGACCGACGGGUCGAGCAGGUGCGAAAGCAGGAACUAGUGAUCCGGCCAUGGCACGUGGGUGCGUGGUCGCUCAACGGAUAAAAGGUACCCCGGGGAUAACAGGCUGAUCUUGCCCAAGAGUCCAUAUCGACGGCAUGGUUUGGCACCUCGAUGUCGGCUCGUCGCAUCCUGGGGCUGGAGUUGGUCCCAAGGGUUGGGCUGUUCGCCCAUUAAAGCGGUACGCGAGCUGGGUUCAGAACGUCGUGAGACAGUUCGGUCCCUAUCCUCUGUGCGCGCAGGAAAUUUGAGAAGGGCCGUCCCCAGUACGAGAGGACCGGGAUGGACGAACCUCUGGUGUGCCAGUUGUACCGCCAGGUGCAUGGCUGGUUAGCUACGUUCGGAAGGGAUAACCGCUGAAAGCAUCUAAGCGGGAAGCCUGCUUCAAGAUGAGAUUUCCACGCCCCCCUGUGGGGUGAGAGGCCCCCGCCAGACUAGCGGGUNNNNNNNNNNNNNNNNNNNNNNNNNNNNNNNNNNNNNNNNNNNNNNNNNNNNNNNNNNNNNNNNNNNNNNNACGCCCAGCCUCCAUUCCGAACCUGGAAGCUAAGCCCG
Molecule: ribosomal RNA, 3161 nt
Filed under: Actinomyces sp.
Lineage: Bacteria; Bacillati; Actinomycetota; Actinomycetes; Actinomycetales; Actinomycetaceae
Description: 23S ribosomal RNA
Rfam family: Bacterial large subunit ribosomal RNA
Source: RNAcentral